AGUAGUUGAUUUGGUGGAGGAGUUCAUUGGAGAGUUUGCGGUAGUUUGUUCUUUCACAAGUCUGUAUGAUGGUUUUGGGUGGGGAUUUGUAGGAGUUUACGGGCCUAACGAUGACCACAAUAGAAAGCUUCUUUGAGAUGAGGUCGCUGGUUUGUGUAGCUGGUGGGAUGACCCGUGGUGCAUUGGAGGUGAUUUCAACAUCACUUGAUUUUCGAGUGAAAGGUCAGGGGUUUCUAGCUCAAGGUCUGUUAUGGCCAUCUUUUCAACUUUAAUUUUCGAGCUGGAUUUGAUUGACCUAUCUCUAGUUGGGGUUGACUACACUUGGUCUAAUGGGAGGGCAUGGUCUAGGCUGGACAAAUUCAUUGUCUCUCCCUCCUGGGAGGCACACUUCCCCAACCUAUGCCAAAAAAGCCUCCCCAAGCUCUACUCGGAUCACUUCCCCCUCUUAUUGGAUUGCAUGGGUCUCCAUGAGGGGUGGAGAUACUUUAAAUUCGAGAAUAUGUAGUUGAAGGUAGAUGAGUUUACAGAUAAGAUUAGAUCGUGGUGGUCCUCAUAUCAGAUCUUGGUACUCCCAGUUUUGUUUUAGCAUGGAAAUUUAAAAGCUUGAAAAUGACCUAAAAAAAUGGAAUACGGAAGUUUUUGGAAACAUAAAUGACCAAAGGAAUAAUCCAUUUCAAGAACUGCUGCGUUUCGAGGUAAAAGAGGUGACUGGGGCCGUCUCGGAUGAUGAGAAGGUAAGGAAAAUGGUUGUAGUAGCUGAGCUGGAAAAAAUACACUCAUGGAGGAGAUAUCCUGGAGGCAAAAAUCUCGGGUCCUUCGGUUGAAGGAAGGGGAUAAGAGCACAAAGUUUUUUCAUCGAGUAGCUGACUCCCAUCGAAGAACCAAUGCCAUCGAGGUUCUUCAUUCGGAAGAGAGGGUUCUUUCAGACAAUGUAGCUAUAAAGGAUCACAUUGUCCACUAUUAUGACCUUCUCCUAAAGGAGCAACAUUGUUGGAGGCCCAAGGUCGAUGGGCUGAUUUUUGAUUCUAUUGAUCCACCAAGUCUUGGUUGGAGAGAGUAUUAAGAGGAGGUGCUUAAAGUUUUAAAGGGGAUGGUAAAAGACAAGGCCUUGAGUCUAGAUGGUUUCACAGUGGCUUUCUUCCAGGCUAGUUGGGACAUUGUCAAGGAGGACAUCUUGAAGGUCUCUCUCAAAUUUCACUCAUUAAUGAAUUUUGAGAAAAGCCUCAAUGUUUUUUUUAUCGUCCUUUUUUCGAAAAGGGCAAGGUCAGUGGAGGUGUAAGAUUUUCGUCCCAUAAGUUUGGUAAGCGGGGUUUACAUAAUCAUCUCCAAAGUGCUAGCCCAGCGGUUGAGCGUAGUCAUGGGGAAGAUCAUCUCGACGUCCCAAAAUGCCUUUGUAAAAGGAAGGCAAAUACUAGACUUGGUCCUUAUUGCGAAUGAAUGCUUGGAGAGUAGAGUCAGAGCCGGUAUUCCAGGUAUCUUAUGCAAAUUGGAUAUGGAGAAAGUUUUUGAUCAUGUAAAUUGGGAUUUCUUGGUGUAUAUACUUGGUAGGUACGACUUUGGGGAAAGGUCGUGCCAGUGGAUGAAGCAUUAUAUCACAACGGUCAGAUUCUCUGUGUUGGUUAAUGGCACCCCCGAUAGCUCUCGGGGCUUGAGGCAAGGGGACCUUUUAUCCCCUCUUCUAUUCAUUUUAGUAAUGGAUGUUUUGAGUAGAAUGAUGAAAGGGAUGGCGGAUAGGGGGUUUCAUCUCGGGGUUCUCUGUAGAUGGCUCCUCAAAUUGGUAGUCUAUCACGCUCUCAUCUACUUUUCGUUGACACCACGUUGAUUUUUUGUGAGCCGGAUCCUGAUCAGAUUUGCUCCCUAAGAGCCCUCUUGCUCUACUUUGAAGCAAUCUUUGGUCUCAAGGUGAAUCUAUCAAAAUUUGAAAUAGUUCUAGUUGGCUCAAUUAAUAACUUAAGUGACUUGGUUGCCAUUUUGGGCUGCAAGGUGUCGUCCUUGCCAUUGAAGUAUCUUGGACUCUCUCUAGGGCCCCCUCAUAAAUCUAAGGCAAUCUGGGAUGAGAUUGUUGAGAAGAUCGAGCGUAAACUAGCGGGAUGGAAGAGACUUUACUUGUCGAAAGGCGGUAGAACCACAUUAAUUAAGAGCACACUAUCCAAUCUCCCCACAUACUUUUUAUCUUUAUUUCCUUUGCUUGCAGGUGUGGUGUAUAGACUGGAGAAGAUUUUUCAUGAUUUCCUAUGGGGCAGUUUUGAGGACUGUGAAAAAAUUCCAUUUGAUUAAGUGGGAUAAGGUAUGCACACCUUUGUCCAAUGGCAGAUUGGGGGUUCGUAAUUUGAGAACUUUCAAUAAGGUUUUUCUAGGAAAAUGGUUAUGGCGGUGUCAUAGGGAAAGAGAUGCCCUUUGGAGGGAAAUUAUCGACGCUAAAUAUGGGAGCAUUUGGGGAGGUUGGUGCCCUAAUGAAGUAAGAGGGCCUUACGGCGUGGGUGUGUGGAAAUUUAUUCGUAAUGGUUGGGAAAACUUAAUUGCUAAUUGCAAGCUUGCGGUGGGUAGGGGCACACAAGUCAGAUUUUGGCACGACACUUGGUGUGGCGAUGUUGCAUUGAAGAUUGCUUUUCCCUCCCUUUUUAGGACCGCACUCAAUAAGGAUGCCUCAGUUGCUGAUAAUAUGGCCAUCUCCUCUAACUCCACCCAAUGGUUAGUGAGAUUUAUUAGAGCGGCACAGGACUGGGAAAUGGGAGAUAUUGCUGAUUUUUUCAGCGCGUUCUACGUGCUGAACUUCCAUGUAGAUGGAGAGGAUCGAUUGCUUUGGACAUCUAUAGGGAACAAGAACUUCUCAGUCCGAUCCUACUAUAAGGUAUUAUCGAUCCACCCCCCAUUGCAUUCCCUUGGAAGUUCAUAUGGAGGAGUAAUGCUCUCCUCAAUUUGGCUUUCUUUGGUUGGCUAGCAUCUCACGGGAAAAUAUUGACUAUUGACAAGCUGAGAAGGUGUGGCCUCUACUUAAUAGAUUGGUGCUUCAUGUGCAAACAUGACAGUGAAUCAGCAGAUCACCUUCUUCUUCAUUGCAAAGUAGUUAAGGCUUUAUGGGAUGAAAUAUUCACAAGGCUUGGUAUGGCAUGGGUAAUGCCUAAACGAGUGAUAGAGUUAUUGGCAUGCUGGAGAGGAUUCCGGGGCAAUAGGCAGAUCACGGCUAUUUGGAAGAUGGUGCCUCUAUGCCUAAUGUGGUGCACAUGGAAUGAGAGGAAUAGUCGUCGUUUCGAGGACAAGGAGUGCAUACCGGAAGGGUUUAGGGACUUUUUUUUAUCAUACUUUGUUACUUUGGGCUUCAUCUGUUGUAUUGAAUGGAACAUCUUUUAAUGACUUUUAUGCUGCUUUUCGCAGCACUUAGCUUGUAAUUAUGCUUUUUGUAUACUCCCUGUGUACUCAGGCCUUGCCUAAUUAUGUGGAUUAAUAAAAUCUUUUCUUACCUAUAUAAAAACAAAUUGCUAGAUAUCUUUUGGUGAUCGACCAUCUACAAUCUCCCAAUGUACAUAAACAAUUUAAUCAAUUUCUGGUCCUUUGACACAUGAUUGGAAAGUACAUUUAUUUUUCACAAUUUUUAGCUCCCGUACUCAAUUCAGUGUUUGUGAAAGUGUUAGGCGCACUUAAGCACAAACAAUUUCUAAAGCCUAGGUGCAAAGCACAAGCGCACGCCUGAAUGAAGUAAAGUGCAAGUAAUAAUAAAAAAAUUAAAAAUAGAAGUAUUUUUUUGUUUUACAGCCAACGUUGAAACGAAAAUGGAACAGCCAUCAUGUAGUGGCCAAAACUAGGCCACCCACAUGGUGGCUGAGCUUUACUUAAACAUAAUAUAAAUCUAUUGAUCUUUACGUAAUAUGCACAUAUACAAUACUUGAUAGCCACUCAUAAAAAAUAAUAUUUGAUAGCCAUAAUCAAAUUAAUGUACAUGGUUGAAUCAAAAUAUACCCGAAAAGCCACAACCAAGAAAGCUCAAGAAUUAUAGGUAUUGACUUCUAUGCUAACAUAAGCAAUCAAAUUAAUCCAUCUACUUUGAUUUUUAUAAUGUUCUAGGUCUUGAAGUGAUAAUUUUAUAAUUUUUUGUUAAAGUUUACAAAAGCGUGCUCUUCUACUCUUUGAGCCCACACCAAAAGCCACAAAAAGCGUGCUUUUGUAAAUGCGC
Molecule: long non-coding RNA, 4171 nt
Organism: Juglans microcarpa x Juglans regia
Lineage: Eukaryota; Viridiplantae; Streptophyta; Magnoliopsida; Fagales; Juglandaceae
Exons: 2
Source: RefSeq, a predicted model, not a curated record